AACCUCUUCCUCUUCGACAAAC
Molecule: non-coding RNA, 22 nt
Filed under: Arabidopsis thaliana (thale cress)
Lineage: Eukaryota; Viridiplantae; Streptophyta; Magnoliopsida; Brassicales; Brassicaceae
Source: RNAcentral